AUGAGGCCUUUCCACGGCGACGUCGCCGGCCUGACGUCGCUCCGUCUCCGUCCGCUCCUCUGCUUCCUCAGGCGCUGGGAUCUCUCCGACACCGCACACGCGCUGGAGCAGGAGACGGGCGUGUCCUUCAUGCCGGAGUACCUGCGGCUGCUGCUGGCCCAGGACAAGUGGGCGGAAGCCGAGGCGUACGUGGCCAGCCGGCUGGCCAGCCUCGUCCUCACGCGCAUCCGCAUCUUCGGCGUCAUGUCCAAGUUCGCCGUCGGGGAGGCCAGCACCGUCCCCGCCGCUUCCUUCCGACGCGCCGAGGCCGGCCUCCUCGCCCACCCCGAGCUGCACGCUGUCCGCCGCGUCCUCGACUCCAUGCGCUCCGACCCAGACAAGGCCUCAAGGCUGUAUGCGCACAUCCAUCCCGGGGCAGUGGAGGCCAUCAUGAAGUGGGUCGCCAAGUGCCCGGAGCUCAAAUCCAAGAAUCGAGCACCACCUCGUUCUGGGAAUGCAGAGGCAGGGGUCUGA
Molecule: ribosomal RNA, 513 nt
Filed under: Triticum aestivum (bread wheat)
Lineage: Eukaryota; Viridiplantae; Streptophyta; Magnoliopsida; Poales; Poaceae
Description: partial small subunit ribosomal RNA
Source: RNAcentral